CUCAAAGGUGGAGGCCCCCAACUUCUACUCCUACUCCCAGACCUCUGGCCACCUCUGAACUUCUCAUGAAAGUUCCCUUUCCCCAGGAAAAAGGAAAAGUAUCUUCUAGGAGCCUAGGAAGGCUGAAGCCAGAGACUUAUUUUUCUUCCCAGGCCAUGAGGGUUAAUUCCUCCUUUUUACAGUUCUGAGAAAUCAAAGAAAUCAAAGCUUGGCCUCAUUCUCACCAAAAGAAAAGAACCCUUGCUAGGUUUUGACAAAAAGGAGACUAUUACAACAGGAAUGGAAUAAGUACUAUAAUCAAGAAACUCUCCAUAGGCUUCCCUGGCAUGCACAGGUAUUCUUUAUCUUAAUUCAUUCAGCAUUUACUAUAGGCCAGUGCAGGGGGCAGGAAAUUUUCCUCUACCUUUCUGGGUUCUUGGCUGAAAUGGCCCUGUAAUGAAAAGACAGAUUAACUGGGGAAAAAACCUAAUUUAGUUACAAUUCAUACCUAUGGGAGCCCCACAAAAACAUGAGACAGGAAGAAGUGACCAGAUUUGUGAAGAAUUGACUAGACAAGGGGGCUUGGGACAAGGGUAGUAAUAUGGUGAAGAAAUAACAAGGUUUGUUUAUACAGCCUCU
This 618-nucleotide long non-coding RNA is filed under the name Canis lupus familiaris (dog). RNAcentral's name for it is "lncRNA (ENSCAFG00000033914.3, ENSCAFG00805024457.1, ENSCAFG00845029286.1)". The record is from RNAcentral. Lineage: Eukaryota; Metazoa; Chordata; Mammalia; Carnivora; Canidae.